Molecule: ribosomal RNA, 484 nt
Filed under: uncultured bacterium
Lineage: Bacteria
Description: partial 16S ribosomal RNA
Rfam family: Bacterial small subunit ribosomal RNA
Source: RNAcentral
AUUGAACGCUGGCGGCAUGCCUAACACAUGCAAGUCGAACGGCAGCGCGGGGGCAACCCUGGCGGCGAGUGGCGGACGGGUGAGGAAUGCAUAGGAAUCUGCCCGGUUGUGGGGGAUAACGUAGGGAAACUUACGCUAAUACCGCAUACGACCUUCGGGUGAAAGUGGGGGACCUUCGGGCCUCACGCGAUCGGAUGAGCCUAUGCCCGAUUAGCUAGUUGGCGGGGUAAGAGCCCACCAAGGCGACGAUCGGUAGCUGGUCUGAGAGGAUGAUCAGCCACACUGGGACUGAGACACGGCCCAGACUCCUACGGGAGGCAGCAGUGGGGAAUAUUGGACAAUGGGCGCAAGCCUGAUCCAGCAAUGCUGCGUGUGUGAAGAAGGCCUUCGGGUUGUAAAGCACUUUUGUUCGGGAAGAAAUCCGUGUGGUUAAUACCCGUACGGGAUGACGGUACCGAAAGAAUAAGCACCGGCUAACUUCGUG